Non-coding RNA from Nerophis lumbriciformis (worm pipefish), 333 nucleotides. Lineage: Eukaryota; Metazoa; Chordata; Actinopteri; Syngnathiformes; Syngnathidae. The record is from RefSeq and is a predicted model, not a curated record.
GCGAGUCAGUCGGCCUGGCUUCAUUGUUUGCGUCACACCUAUGCCACGUGAUGUAAUAGUCUUUCCCCUUGAGGAACUCCAGCCCCCACAGGUUGGGGCUGAACUCCUGGAACUUGAAGGUGAACUUGACGUCCCGGUGCGGUUUGUCACAAUUGAGCAGCGGCGCGUCCUUCUUGUUGACGGAGCAGCUCUCCAUCUGACUUCGAGAAACCAGGAUGGACUCCAGGGUGACAGCCCGGCAUGAGCUCGUGAUGACGGCCAGCAGGAUGGCGGCAGCACCGUGGAUCCAUGGGAGUCUUCUCCCCCACAUCACGGGACCGAAUCCACGCGGGG